UCUGGGAUUAGCAGGUGCAAAUUAUCAUAAAAAGGAUGGAUAAACAACAAGGUCCUACUGUAUAGCACAGGGAACUGUAUUUAAUAUCCUAUGAUGAACCAUAAUGGAGAACAAUAGGAUAUAUAUGGAUAUAUGAGCUAUAUGAUAUACAUGAUAUGAUAUAUAUGUGAUAUAUGAUAUAUGGUAUAUGUGAUAUAUAUAUAUAUAUCCUAUGAUAAACCAUAAUGGAGAAUAAUAUGAUACAUAGCAUAUCGUUCUCCCUUAUGAUAUAUAUAUAUAUCUGAAUCACUUUGCUGUAUAGCAGAAAUGAACACAAUAUUAUAAAUCAACAUAUUUCAAUAAAAUGUUUUAAAAAGAUUUAACUCUCUGGUUACACCAACUGAAAAUUCUUUGUGCUCUUCCUCUGUAAUAGCCAUCAUGGCUUAUGAUUAAAUAUUCGUUUUGGGGUUUUUUUUUGUUUUUGUUUUUGUCUUUUUGCCUUUUCUAGGGCUGCACCCGCGGCAUAUGGAGGUUCCCAGGCUAGGGGUCGAAUCGGAGCUGUAGCCACCAGCCUACACCACAGCCACAGCAACGCCAGAUCCGAGCUGUGUCUGCGAUCCACACCAUAGCUCACGGCAAUGCCGGAUCCUUAACCCACUGAGCGAGGGCAGGGAUCGAACCCAAACCUCAUGGUUCCUAGUCGGAUUUGUUAACCACUGCGCCACGACAGGAACUCCUCGGGAUUUUUUUAAAUUAAAUUGUAAAAUGAAUGUAAGUUCCUGUUUUCCUCUCUCUUCCACCCACUGCAGAUCUAAUGUUCAAAAGAUUCCAUGUCUGCUUUGGCCACUAUCAUACCCCAGCAUGUAAGAGAUCCUCAUAAACAUUAGCUGAAUAAGUAAACAUACCCAUGUUGCUAAUUGCUGGGAGACAGUGAACUAGGAGCUUUGGGGAGGACUGUACUAAGAAGGAGUAGCCCCAUCAAGGGGAGUGACGCUGGUGCUGUCAGGUAGGCCUCCAUGUAGCUGCGCGCUGGCCCAGCUGUGAGGCUGCCAUGUUCCCUGUUAAACGUCAUUUCACUGGACAUCAAUGUCAUUCAAGGCCAUCCUGUGACCAUGAGAAAUGAACAAAGAUAAGUCCAUUCUGUAACCAUGUCUGGACUCCAACAAGAAUAUCGACCAGAUCAUACAAAUAUCCAAACAUCCCCUAUUCAGGUUCAUCUGAGUCAGUGAUGCUUUUUUGCCAAUUACAGCUUUAGCCUUCAUGUUUCAUCCCACCUUUGAUGUAAGAAUCCCAAUCAUGGAAUAGUCCCUCCUUCUUGACACUCUCCCUGAAGUCACCAAACACAAGUCCAAAUCCUAUACUGAGAUAUUUCUAGCAUCUUUUCACGGAGGUGGCCCUCAGUUCCUCCUGCUGUGAGGUCUCUCUCAUGGCCAUGAGUCAACCCAACCCUGUCACUUAACCAACUGUACUUUUUGCAGGGUCUUGGACUGGAGGGCAUGGAAAAGGCCAUCUAGAAUGGGGCAGAAAGUUGAUAUACAGCGGUUUGAAUGUGUCUCCCUAUCCAGAGAACAAUUUUUGCCUUUUUGGCCUUUUAGGGCCACACCCACAGUAUAUGGAGGUUCCCAGGCUAGGGGUAGAAUCAGAGCUGCAGCUGCCGGCCUACCCCACAGCCACAGCCACAGCCACGCCAGAUUCUUAACCUACGGAUCCGAAUCCACGUCCUCAUGGAUACUAGUCAGGCUCACUGACCACUGAGCCACGACGGAAACUCCCCAAAGAACAAUUUAGAAUCUGUGAAUAUCUAGCUCCUGGUAGUUAACUCCAUUUUCAAGAGACUAGUGAAACACUUAUUAACAUCAAUCACCCUAAAGUAUCAGAUCAUUUGAAAACCUCUUCACAGUGGACUUUGGAAUGCAAACUGUUAGGGAAUGAUUUUUUUUUUCAUAGGGUUGUUUCUUUUUUUAAUGCUUUUCUACAUAUUGAUAAAUGAAAGUCAGUGCCUAUUUCUUGCAACUAACCUCAGUGGGAGGCAGCCAGUUAGAAGAGGGAAGGGAGAUAUUUUUAAAUUGCCAAAGUGAAUCCUGGACCGAGGCCACGUGUGGAUAAUUCAAAACGGAUUAAAGUUCUUCUAAGAAGCCACUUUUCAUGCUUCUCUCAACUGCUUCAUGUGGACUCCUUCUCAAGGAAAAAAAAAAGCACAUUCUCUGGUUUUUCUAUUUGUUUUUUCCUUGUCUAGACAGUAGUCUAAAAACUGAAUAUAUUUGGGCAUUAAAAUGUUUUUUCCCCUAUAUGGGAAAAGAAUUUAAGAAUGUGUGUGUGUGUGUAACUGAUUCACUUUGCUGUACACCUGAAACUAACACAACAUUGUGAAUCAACUAUACUCCAAUAAAAUGUAUAAAUAAAUAAACAACUAAAAAUUUUAAAAUAUUUCUGAACAAAAAAGUCUUUUGCGGAGUUCCCGUCAUGGCUCAGUGGUUGGCCAAUCCGACUCGGAACCAUGAGG
Molecule: long non-coding RNA, 2482 nt
Filed under: Sus scrofa (pig)
Lineage: Eukaryota; Metazoa; Chordata; Mammalia; Artiodactyla; Suidae
Description: lncRNA (ENSSSCG00025035805.1)
Source: RNAcentral